RNAcentral lists this ribosomal RNA (427 nucleotides) under uncultured bacterium. RNAcentral describes it as "partial 16S ribosomal RNA". It matches the Rfam family "Bacterial small subunit ribosomal RNA", at positions 355 to 774 of the family's 1533-position model. The record is from RNAcentral.
UGGGGAAUAUUGCACAAUGGGCGCAAGCCUGAUGCAGCCAUGCCGCGUGUAUGAAGAAGGCCUUCGGGUUGUAAAGUACUUUCAGCGAGGAGGAAGGCGUUGUGGUUAAUAACCGCAGCGAUUGACGUUACUCGCAGAAGAAGCACCGGCUAACUCCGUGCCAGCAGCCGCGGUAAUACGGAGGGUGCAAGCGUUACUCGGAAUUACUGGGCGUAAAGCGCACGCAGGCGGUCUGUCAAGUCGGAUGUGAAAUCCCCGGGCUCAACCUGGGAACUGCAUCCGAAACUGGCAGGCUAGAGUCUUGUAGAGGGGGGUAGAAUUCCAGGUGUAGCGGUGAAAUGCGUAGAGAUCUGGAGGAAUACCGGUGGCGAAGGCGGCCCCCUGGACAAAGACUGACGCUCAGGUGCGAAAGCGUGGGGAGCAAACA